GAAUCUUCCGCAAUGGACGAAAGUCUGACGGAGCGACGCCGCGUGGUGGAUGAAGCCCUUAGGGGCGUAAACACCUUUUAUGAGGGAGGAAGUUUAUUGACGUUACCUCAUGAAUAAGGGGCUCCCAACUCUGUGCCAGCAGGAGCGGUAAUACAGAGGCCCCAAGCAUUAUCCGGAUUCACUGGGCGUAAAGGGUGCGUAGGCGGUGUUAUUAGUCGGGUGUUAAAUCUUCAGGCUCAACCUGAAAAUCGCAUUCGAAACGGUAACACUAGAAGAAGUCAGAGGUUAGCAGAACUCUCGGUGUAGGGGUGAAAUCCGUUGAUAUCGAGGGGAAUACCAAAUGCGAAGGCAGCUAACUGGGACUUUCUUGACGCUGAGGCACGAAAGCAUGGGUAGCGAAUCGG
This 404-nucleotide ribosomal RNA is filed under the name uncultured bacterium. Its description in RNAcentral is "bacterial SSU rRNA". It matches the Rfam family "Bacterial small subunit ribosomal RNA", at positions 359 to 776 of the family's 1533-position model. The record is from RNAcentral.